Molecule: non-coding RNA, 1612 nt
Organism: Paramuricea clavata
Lineage: Eukaryota; Metazoa; Cnidaria; Anthozoa; Malacalcyonacea; Plexauridae
Source: the annotation of a GenBank genome assembly
CUUAUUAAAAGUGUACCUUUCUUUAUUUUGCUUUACACGGAAAAACUGAUAGUACGCAAAUUAUUUAAUUGCCAUUUUACUAAUUAGUUUGGCCGCAAAGUUUCGGUUCAGUAAUAGAACUACGUUAUAUUUCCAGCAAUAUAAACAAAACUGCACUUCAGACGUAAUAUUCUCUUUAUAUUGAAAAGCGUUCAUGUGCCUUAUUUUACACAUAUCGUUCGUAGUCGUCACUACAUAAAUCAAUUAUCAACAGUCAAUAACGCUGUGAAGACAUAAUAUAUCUUAUUUUAAACUUUAAAACAUCUUCUUUCUCAAAAAUAUAAACCACCAAAGAUUUUCUAUACACUUACUCGUUUUGCGUUCAAUACUACAGUAUGCGUUUUACAGUCGAUUUCACAAAACUUUGACCACAAAUGUUCCGAAUUUCGUUGCGAAGUUCGGAAGUUCAUACUGGGAAUUCACAAGCCACUUUGUAAACAAAGUCCCUGAUUGGUCCCAGAAGUGAAAGAAGCCAAUCAAAUGCGUAGUUUACAAACUGGUUUGCGAAUCCAAAUCUCAUUACAGUAUGAACUCUUGAACUUCGCAGCGAACUGCGUUCGGAACAUUUGUCACGUCAAAGUUAUAUCUGAAAUUGACUGUAAAACUCGGGAAAACUGAAAACACAUAUAUUAAACCCAAAAAUAUAUUAAACCCAAAAAUAUAUAACUACCAUUUCUUUAAGUUCCAAUAUAACCCCAAAUAUGACUUGUGCGAUGUGUAAUAAUUUGGGACUUCGGUAGCGCUGAACAAGCGCCUUUCACUUUGGUGUGUUCCAUUGCCUUGCUGCCCACGCGUGUGAAAAGAGUCAGUCAACGCGUGGGUUUCGAAAGUCGUCUAGUCCACAAGGAAAGUCGACAUGGUGGAUCAGGAUAAACACAGUUAAUAAAGUGGUAUAAAAAAAUUAAUACUUGAUGAAAAGCGCAUUUGAUCUGAUAUCACGCACGGGCAUGUUAGCCUGCCGCGCAGUAUGUAAAUUUGCGCGGAUGGUAAAUAUUCUUUCAUCUUUUUUUAUCAGUAAACGUUUUGCCAAUUCUCAAACAAGUCAACCUUUAGAAAUCACCCUUUUGUUGUAAACACCCAAACCUCAUUACCUGUGGGAGUUUAGAAAGCAUUGUAAUCGUGAAAAUUCUAAUUGAAAGUUGAAACGACUUAGAAAUUAAAUCCCGUCAGUUCGAUGAAAAGUGGUUCAACCGUGUUCGUUCUUUUUGGCUUGUUUAAUAGAACUAUUAACAAUUAACGCAUUUAUAAUGAGUAUUGCAAGUAGUAAUGCAAGUAGUAAAGCAAAUCAGUUAAAACGGAAUUUGCAUUACCAACAAUGAGUGUCUCAUAUUACACCACAAAGCUUUUCGCGCGGAUUAUAUUUCGCGCAGUACUAAAAUUCGCGCACCCAGCGCUGCGCGAAUUCUAGUACUGCGCGAAUCAUUUUAAUACAAGUAAGGUAUACGCUUUAAAAUUAUCAACAUGAGUGAACGAUUCUUUCACAUAAUUCUAAAGCUAUAAACUACAGGGUGUCCCAAAAAACCAAAACUCCUGAAAUAACGUAUUGUUAGAAUUUGAAUGCCCCAGCACAAAU